CGGAUAUUUAUGGUCAUUAUUAUUCUUAUAGUUGAAUUAACAACGAUAGUUUUUCAAGUUAUUGGUCUUG
RNAcentral lists this transfer RNA (70 nucleotides) under Hexanchus nakamurai (bigeye sixgill shark). Its description in RNAcentral is "tRNA-Glu". The record is from RNAcentral. Lineage: Eukaryota; Metazoa; Chordata; Chondrichthyes; Hexanchiformes; Hexanchidae.